Molecule: ribosomal RNA, 253 nt
Filed under: uncultured bacterium
Lineage: Bacteria
Also listed under: 1 other name
Description: partial 16S ribosomal RNA
Rfam family: Bacterial small subunit ribosomal RNA
Source: RNAcentral
UACGGAGGGAGCUAGCGUUAUUCGGAAUUACUGGGCGUAAAGCGUACGUAGGCGGCUUUGUAAGUUAGAGGUGAAAGCCUGGAGCUCAACUCCAGAAUUGCCUUUAAGACUGCAUCGCUUGAAUCCAGGAGAGGUGAGUGGAAUUCCGAGUGUAGAGGUGAAAUUCGUAGAUAUUCGGAAGAACACCAGUGGCGAAGGCGGCUCACUGGACUGGUAUUGACGCUGAGGUACGAAAGCGUGGGGAGCAAACAGG